RNAcentral lists this ribosomal RNA (678 nucleotides) under Turbinaria irregularis. Its description in RNAcentral is "eukaryotic LSU rRNA". It matches the Rfam family "Eukaryotic large subunit ribosomal RNA", at positions 114 to 634 of the family's 3401-position model. The record is from RNAcentral. Lineage: Eukaryota; Metazoa; Cnidaria; Anthozoa; Scleractinia; Dendrophylliidae.
UUUGAAAUCUCCGGCGCUUGCGCCGGCGAGUUGUAGUUGCGAGAAGCACUUUCUCGGCGGAUCGGGCGUGCCUAAGUUGCUUGGAACAGUACGUCGCAGAGGGUGACAACCCCGUCUGUGGCACGGCCGGCCGCUCACGAUGUGCUUUCGAAGAGUCGGGUUGUUCGGGAAUGCAGCCCAAAACGGGUGGUAAACUCCAUCUAAAGCUAAAUAUGGACGUGAGACCGAUAGCGAACAAGUACCGUGAGGGAAAGAUGAAAAGAACUUUGAAAAGAGAGUUAAAAAGUACGUGAAACCGUUGGAAGGGAAACGAAUGGACUCAGCAAGGCGCCGUUUUGAGAUUCAGCCGGCCGGCGGGAUCGGCCCGGGGUUUGCGGAUCCGAACGGACCGCGGUCUCGGGCUCGUUUCUCCCGGCCGUCGCACUUCUCUUGGGCGCACGUCAACGUCGGUUGGGACUGGGUCUGAAAGGUCCCGGGAAGGUAGGUCCGCGCGUUCCUCCGAGUGCGCGCGCUCUGUUACAGCCCGGUUCUCUUGCGGCUCGGGCCCGACCGAGGCGGUCGCAGCGCAUGCCUCUUCUGGCUAGGGUCCCGUCCGUCCGGCCGGUCGUCGACCGCGGUGGACUGCUUGCAGUGCUCCGCGACUGCUGCCGGUCGUUUGGGUGGUGACGUCGUACCAUG